Heterocephalus glaber (naked mole-rat) is the source of this 8052-nucleotide non-coding RNA. Lineage: Eukaryota; Metazoa; Chordata; Mammalia; Rodentia; Bathyergidae. The record is from RefSeq and is a predicted model, not a curated record.
GGAGAGAGGACGGGAGCAGAUGGUCAGGGCUGCCAUGGGCACUGGACCCUCUCUUUCCUCAGUUACCAGAUCCUCAGUGAGGAAAAUGGGUUUUUCUCACUGAAGAACGUCUGCACUGCUUUGCGUAAGGCCUUGCCCGCCGCUGCCACGCAGUAGUGGUCAAGGGACUGACCCGGUGGCCUCCCCCUCCCCUUUAAGGCAGCUCCAGUGGAGGAGCUGCCCCCUGGGCGGACCCCGAGCUCUCUGCCUUCGUUCAUACUUAUGCCCCACGUCCUGCUCUGUGCGACAGUUGUGCGGGGGGAACGUGUGAGUCAGAGGCUGGGCCUGGCCCAGGGGCUGGAGCUGGGAUUUGAAUUAGAAAGUGCUACAUGCAGGAGGAGAGGGCUCAGUCGCCUCCUUGUUGCUGGGAGGUGUCCAGCACCAGUUUGAAGGGGAGGGCUUAUCUCAACGCAGGCUAUGGUCCAUGGUCGGCCAGCUCCGAGGCAGAGAUGGUGAAGCGGGAGGGCUGGCGGAGGAGCCUGCUUACACCACGCUGCACAGGGAGCAGGGAGGCAGGGAGGAGCGGAGGGAGCUCACUCUUCCGGUCCCACGCCGGUGACCGCCUCCACCCGGGCUCUCUCCCCUGACAGCACACUCGUGCUCUCCUCGUGAGUGGGUCCCUGCCCUGAUGGGCAGUCGCUCCCACCGGCCCUGCCACUGAGCACUGGAGGCGGGGCCACCAGCGCCACCUAGGGGCUGAGCCGUAGCAGAAGGAGCAGAAGGGCUGGGAGCCCAGGGCCCUGUCCACGGGGACACCAGAAAGGCUCUGGGGAGGAGGUGGGGCUGCGGGAGAGUGGGCUGGCCCGGAGCCCUCAGCACGUGUGUGCCAGUGAAUGGGAAGUGGCUGGCGGUGGCCAAGGCUGCUGUGUCCCCGAGGUGAGCAAGAGGAAGGAGGCCAGGCGAGGAGGGUGACCCCAAGCACACAGCUUGGGUGUAGGGAGUGAGUUCAGCUCCAGGCCGCCUUGUUGGCAGACUGAGUGCCAGGCAUGGCAGUGAGGACCCCUGUCUGCUUCGUCCGCCUCCACCGCGCCAUCACACACGGGCACAGAGCCGUGCUUGCAUUUCAGGCCCUUCACCAGGCACGUGUCCUGCAGCUCUCUCUGUCCCUGUCUCCUGUUUUGCUUCUUCAUGAGGCCAAAGUCAGUGUCCACGGGAGCAGGCAGCACCAGGUCCUCUGAGCAGAUGCGUGGAGAGUGUCACGGGCACCGGGACCUCUCACCAGGAGCACCGGGACCCAGUGUGGCGUCCCUGUGAGCACCAGAGUCCACUGCAGCGUCGCCUCAGGGGCGGUGACCCGUGACUGGUGACUGCCAGUCAGCACCGGGCCCAGCAUAGUGACCUUCUCCUCUGAAGCUCUCCGUUUUGACUCUGCAGACUUUGCAGCAUAGGAACAGAGCUGACGCGACUGGGUAAAUGGGAUCAGGUCUUCCCUGUUCUGUGUCCAGUCUCCACCGUGCAGGGACGGGGGCCGUGUCACCUGGAGUAGCCCCGGCAGCCCUGUGCAGGUCAAACCUGGGCUGCAGUGAGGGCAGCUGGAGCCUGUCCUGAGGACGCCCCUGGCUCGGCACGGCACUUUGGGGCUCCUCCAAGCCAGCCUGGCUGCAGGUGGGAUCCCUGAGGAUGAAGGAAGGGUCGCAGUGAGGGAUCUGGAGUGAGGCGUGGGGCAGGUGCCUGUCUUUAAUGUCCCUGGUCGCCCCUGUGGUGGUCAGGUUUGAAGCAGGUUCUGUCUCACUAGAGCCUUGCAGGGGCCAAGCCCUAGACCAUCCCUGGCUUCCCGGCGAGCACUGUUGAGGUGAUCUCCAGUGAGGCCCCACGGCUGCCCCUCUCCUCCCGGGGUCUGGUAUCGGCUGUGAACAGCUUAUGCUGGGAUAUGGCUGCUGGUGUUCCGUCCCAAGCGGACUCCCUUUCUAUGUUUUGAUGAGUUCUGGAGGCUUUUUGCAAAGAAGAAGUAAAUUCUGGCCUGUUCUGUUGCCUUUUUGCCACUAUAACCAAAAUACCUGACCCUCAUAAGAUAGAGGAGGAGAGGUUUAAUGCAGCUCAUGGUUUGAGAGGAUUUAGUCCAUGGUUGGCUGCUCCAGGGCAGAAGGAUCAUGGUGGGAGGGUGUUGGGGGAGCAGAGCUGCUCAGUUCAUGGUGGCUGGGAGGUAGAGCAUACGGACAGUGUCAGAGAGCAAGGGGUCAGGUACCACUUACAGGACCCCAGGCCACACCUCCACGACCCACACACCUAGGAGUGUGCUCCACCGGGCCUUGGGUGGAUCCCAAAGCCAAUGGAGCUGACAAUGAAGCUUAAACAUCACACCUCUAAUCUGAACAAAAAUAACACAGAAUUUCUUACCUAUGAAAUAGGACUAUAAUAAAAGAAAAUGUGGGGCUAACUAAUGUAACGAUUAACAUUUGCUAAGUACUUGCCAUGUGGCAUGUGCUGUGCCAAGGGUGUGUGGAUGUGCAUUUAUAUACACAAAGAUACAAGGGCUGAACAAAAUGCACGAUGAGUAUCUGAAUUAAACAUUAUUACAGUAAAGAGACACUGACGUUAACCCCCUCUAAUAGUCCCUUUCACUUUGACACACUUAUCCCAUUGUUCUUGCCACUUUCUGAAGCAGUUCUGGAGCCCUCUUUCAUGAGGCUCUUUAUGAGGUCUGAUAAAAAACACCGGACCAAAUGCUGCUGCCAAGUGCCCUUCAAUGGAAAGGCAGCUCAUAAAAACAUGACGCUGUGUCCCACCACCUUAUUCACUGCAUCUGGCCCUGUGAGACUUCUGGCUCUUCCCCAAAGUCAAAAUGACCUUGAAAGCGAGACAUUCUGAAUCGAUUCAGGACAUCAAGGCAGCUACAACAAAGCAACUAAAAAUACUCAGAAAAGAGGACUUCCAGAACUGCUUCAGAAAGUGGCGAGAAGGACGGGAUAAGUAUUUAUAGGUGAGGGAGGAUUUUGAGGCAAUGAGUCCUUUACUGUAAUACAUUAAAAGAAUGUAAAGAUCCAGGGUAAUUUCCGGCCACACCUUGUAGCACAGUGCUUAGCUGUGGUCACUACACUGCAGGGGCCAUGGUCUAGUGGGCGGUCCAUGAGCAACGGCGGCAGCUGCUCACAGAGGCCCACACUGUGCUGGGUGGACACCAGUGGUGGCAGGGCAGGGGCUGUGAGCCUGUGUUGUCUGGGGUUAAAUCCUAGCCCUCAGACUUUUGAAUCGAGGAUGCUGGGGUGCAGCCCAGGCUCUCACACGUGUGAGGCCAGUGCUCUACCCCGAGCUGCAUCCCCAGCCCACUCUUAGACUUGGUUUUCUCCACUGUAACAUGGGGACAAGAGACACACCUAGAUCCCUGGUUGUUGUGAGGAUUGAAUAAGCGAUUGUACAGAAUAUAUAAAUACAAUGUUUUUAUGUGAAAAUGUAAUUAUACAAACAAAUAACAAAGCAUGGCAGAAAGCAGUUGUUGAAUGAGAAGUUAUCUUCACAAGGUUGCAAUAGGGCGCUGCUACAGUUCCCACGUCAGCGGUGUGCAGUGAUUCUGGGACAAUAACAGAGUAGCAGGGCAGAGGCCCCUGCUGGGUGGGGUGCCUGGGUCUCAGGCCCUCCAUCCUCACCCAGGAGGCAGAGGCAGAGGGGUCACUGCUGCUGGGAGUGGGAGCCCAAGGACCCUGAGUCUGACUUAGCAGCCGGGUGCUGCGGGCGCAGGAGCGGUGCUGGAGCUGGAGGAGCCCUCACUUCUCUUUUGUAGGGUGGGACGCGCUGUCCUUGACUCCCAGCCAGACGAGUGCAGGGCUCCAGGACUGGCCAGAGCUUCCUGGGGCGGCCAUGUCUGCAGUGGCUCUUCCUGCCCGAUGGAUGGCUGUGGAAGGAAUGGCCUGCAUGUCAAUCCACCUUUCGGGGCCGCGCCUCUGCCAAGAGAGGCUUGAAAGACGGCCAGCCCUGUAAAUCCAGAGACGCUGCUGAUGCAGGGCUGGCUGUCCUUGGGCCUGGAGAACAGGACGCUGGGCUGGGUGGAAGGGGCCAUGACCUUUGGUGCUCUCCUCCCCUUGAGCAGGUCCUCCUUAGGGUUGCCUUUUCCUGUCAUCGAAGCCCUGGGGGCGAUGGGGUACCCCAAGUUCCCUUGGAACAGAGCGGGCCAGCAGGGGAAGGACCUGUGAUGCUGCUGCUCCCAUUGCCUGGGGUCCCCCACCCUCAGGCCCCCCUGUGAUAGGCACCUUUGCCCGGGCCUGGGGAAGGGGCUCGUCAGGGGCUUGUGGUGCUGGGCCCUGGUCUUUAGCGGUGCGGCACCCAGGACAUCACCACGGCAUCCAAGGUCUGGGUCCAGGGCUCUCUGCAGGCCUCCGAGUCCCCCGCGCAUGUGGUCACUUCUGGUGUCACAGAGCAGCUCUGCCACCAAACCUGGCCUGCGGCACAGCAGUGCGGCUCUGAAGUCAGAGACUGGACAGAGGCCCUGGGGUGACAGCGCCCUUCCCGAGUCCCUGAUCUGCUCUGGACUCGGAAGGGCUGAAGAGCCAGGAGAGGCCCGGGCUGCGGUCACCCGGGCCAUCGGAGGCCUCUGCCGCCUGGGCCCAGAGACAGGAGAGAUGAAGUGCUCUGCUCCCGAGGCACUGUCCAGCAAGGACCCGGGCAGGGACCUGUGGCCAGGCUGUGUGAGGGGCUGAGGGGGAGCAGCUGUGGGCAGUGGCCUGCUUGGGUCAGAGAGGCCGAGCUGGGAGUGAGGUCCCGGUGGACAGAGGGCAGUGCGGGCAGGAAGGCCACUCAGGUGGAGGGUGGAUGUGUGGCCCUGUGACCCUGAGACGUCGGCCAGUGAGGGGCUGGUGCCUUCCCUGGACAGUGGCCCCAAGUUCAGGGUUUGGGGGGCCGGGGAGGGGAAGGCCCCGCCCAAGAGAUGGGACAGGAGGGCAGGUCAGGCUGGGGGUCCCCCGAGCCGGCUGACGGGUGAGAGGAUCUGGCCUUGGGCCUGUGUGGAGUCGGGCACAGAGCCCCGUCCAGUCCACCUUCCCCAGGGACAGGGCCCUGCCAGCCUUUGCAAAGCUGAGCGCUGGCUUCUGAAGCUCAGCGUCAGCCACUGCCACUGUCGCGGGGGGCCGGCCCCCCCAGGGACCUGCCAGGCCUCUUCCCAGCUGCGGCAGCGUGGCUCUGUUCUGGGAGGUGACCAUGUGGGUCUCACCGAGGAGGAGAAUGCACUCACGGGGCAGGAGAGGUGUCCGUGGGGGCCUGGUGUGAACGGCCGGCUGGGCUGCUGUCCACCCAGAGCCGCUGUCGGAGAGAAAACGAGGGACAUUGCCCGUGUGGCUUGAUGUCACCGCAGACCUCAGGCUGGACGGGGUGGCUCUGCCCUCCUGCAGGGCCCUUCCCCGCCUGCGCAGCCCCAGCCUCUCCCGACCCCGCUGGGCCAGGGCGCAGGGCCAGGCAGGGUGCAGGAGACAUUACUCUCUCCCUAACCCCGUCAGAGUCCCUGUGGACAGUGUCAUAGAAGGUCAGGGAGCACUGGGGCAGUGCCCACACCCCACUCUGCAGCCCGAGCCCUUUCUCAGGGCCUCCGAGAACCCGAAGGAGGAGGGCUGAUGUGUGAAGCUCUGUGUCCCCCCCACCUUUGGGGUUCCCACUCCCCGGGGCCCUGCAUAGCUCCAGGCUCUGGUGAGAAAUCUCCACAUUGUGCCUCACAGCCGGGGUUCGCAGCUGAGGGUCUGACGCAGACCGCAGGCUUAGAGGGUGGCGGUGCAGCUGGAGGGCCCCCUGGGGUCUCCCCUCUGCCCUCCCUGCGGAGCCCAGGCUCUGUGGGGGCAGCGCGGCCCGUUGCUCUCUGGGUGAGGAACUGGGGCAUGGGGGUUGUAAUCAGGGUGGCAGAGCCUUCCCGUGCCAGUGGGGUCCCCAGUGGUCUGAAAGACAAGGCCGCUGGGGGCCUCCAGCAGUGGCUCCCAUUCUCCCUGUUCGGUUUGGCUGAAGAGCUCGUUGUGCAGCCCCAGUUAGAGCAACUCAGUCGGAUUGCUCGCCUCCCUCUGGACUGACUGAGGUGUGGACUGGUGCCUGGAUCAGCGGCACAGAGGCCUCCCGUCUUCCUUCGCUCUCAAACACAGUCAGGUGAGCAGCCUGGGAAACAGAAACCAAAGAGAGGAGGUGGCCGGGGUAAAGCUUGCGACCCCAGCACAGCGCGCUAACUCUAACCCUAACCCUAACCCUUGCUGCCAACCGCGUGGCCUGACGCCCGCUCUCCACGCGAGGGGCUCCGUGGAGGGCUGUGGGGUUCACUGCAGGAACGGGAGUCAGGGGCACCGAGGCCGCCUCGCCCUUGGCUGUGGUUGUGCUCCUGCCUGGUGCUGUGUAAAACGCUCUGCAAAGCACAAGUCCUAGCUUGGAGUCCUCUAAAGAUUUGCGCUGGGAAGCUCUGGCUCCUCCUGCAGUUCCAACUCUGGAUGAGGGGAUAAAGGAUCUGCAGGAGGAGCCCGUGUUAUUUAAGUCGAAAAUACCAAGAAAGGCCACGAAUGCACCGGAUCCUUCAAGGCCUCUCAGCUCCUGGGAAAGUCCGUCGGGGCCCAGACCUGCCAGGGCCCGUGUCCCCAGCCGUUGCCUGGCAGGUGGCUGAAGGAGUUAGGAUGCUCGUGAAUCCCGUGUCCCUCCUGCACGUGGUCCCAGCGGGGGUCAGAGGUCAGAGUGGCCCCAUCCCAGGCUUGGGCCCAUGUCUGGCCACGGCUCCAUCUGCUCUCCUUCUGGAGCUCUGACAGCACCGUGCCAGGCUGCCUGCGCCUUCUAGGUCACUCCCUGCCACCCUAGGACGGCCAGGUCCCGCAGGUGUCAGCUGGGGCUGAGCCAGGCUGUGUGGCAUCCCUUUUCCCAUCACUCUCUGGUCCGGUGUGGCCGUGCUGUCCCGGGGGAGGAGGUGGCGAGUGACCCUCCACAUGGCCUCGACACUGACUUCCCAAGGAGCCCGAGGAGGGGACCCCUGGAACCACACCCCACCAAGCUCUACUUUGCCAGCGGAGAGAGCCGCCUUCGUCGCUCGGGGUUGAUAUCUCUGUUCAGAGACGAAUGAUCAGAAAACUCACAAUGUCCAGGACUGUCCUGAGACAGGGACAUCCAUCUCACAAACUCAAGGAGAUAAAAUGAUGCUUGUGACUCUGAAUUAGACUGAAUGUGAGUUAGAGAGGACUCGAGGUGAAAUUUGUCCUUUCCCGUGGAAAGAGCCAAGCGCCGAGAGGGACAGCAGAUGUGGGCUGGUGGCUCUGGCAGUGGCAUGGGGCAGGCUCUCUGCACGGAGAGGGAAGAGGUAGCAGUCGCCCCAGCAGGCCCUGCCUCUCCCAUCUGCCAUCGGCCACUGGGGGCCAUGGACACCAACACCUUCCAGUUACUCCUCCCCCGGGACAUGGCCACCGGAGCUUCAGGGCUGUGUCCCAUCCCGUGGUCCCGUGCUCCUCCCUCUCCUCUGCCUCCUGGCCGCCUUGACGUGAGCUGCUCUCCUCCACCUCACCCUUUGGCCUUGCAGCCUCUGCUUGGAGCUGGCUGACCAGGGACUGAAACCAUGAGCCCAAAUCAGCCUCUGCUCCUUUCAGGUGUGGAUGUCGAGUCUUCUGAUUCAGCAACCAGAAGAGGUGGGGAGCAUGCCUGCCUGAGCAGGUCCUGGAGGAAAGGCUUUCUCAACAUUCUCAACAGAUCAAAAACUGUCUUAUUCUAGGAAAAAGCAAUUUUUAUCCAAAGAUAGAUAAAACAAUUGAAAUAAAUGAAAAACAACCCACUUCUCUUUAUCUCAUUGAGAUGUAGUUUCUUUUUUCAAAAUUGCAUUUAUGUUAAUGCUUAUUUAGCAAAAAGUUAAUAUAUUCAUGUUAUUUUGAUCAAUUGUAUGUUAAUAAUUACAAUGAUAACUCAAUUCAGAAAAAUGUAAAUAUUUAACUCCAGUAGUUAUGAAACAUUUAAAAUAGCUUUAAUAUUAUGUGUGUUUUAUUACAAAGAGGUGAUAAAAUGAUCAAUAAAGACUUUUGUGCAAAUAAAAUAUUACAUUAGGAUGAAAUCUUGUGGGGAAGUAAAAAGAGAUUAAAGUCAAGGCAA